CCUACGGGCGGCAGCAGUGAGGAAUAUUGGUCAAUGGGCGGGAGCCUGAACCAGCCAAGCCGCGUGAGGGAAGAAGGUACAGCGUAUUGUAAACCUCUUUUGUCAGGGAACAAAGGCGGGGACUAGUCCCCGGAUGAGGGUACCUGAAGAAAAAGCAUCGGCUAACUCCGGGCCAGCAGCCGCGGUAAUACGGAGGAUGCGAGCGUUAUCCGGAUUUAUUGGGUUUAAAGGGUGCGCAGGCGGCCUGUUAAGGCAGCGGUAAAAGCUCGGGGCUCAACCCCGGCGAGCCGUUGAAACUGGCGGGCUGGAGUGGGAGAGAAGUACGCGGAAUGCGCGGUGUAGCGGUGAAAUGCAUAGAUAUCGCGCAGAACCCCGAUUGCGAAGGCAGCGUACCGGCGCCACACUGACGCUGAGGCACGAAAGCGUGGGUAUCGAACAGGAUUAGAUACCCGGGUAGUC
This 459-nucleotide ribosomal RNA is filed under the name uncultured bacterium. RNAcentral describes it as "partial 16S ribosomal RNA". It matches the Rfam family "Bacterial small subunit ribosomal RNA", at positions 338 to 795 of the family's 1533-position model. The record is from RNAcentral.